GUUUUUUUAUUAUUAGAAUAUUUAUUUUUUUAUUUUAUGAAUUAAAAUUCCAAUAAAAAUUUGAUUUAUAUAUAUUUUAUAUUUUUAUCUAUUUAGUAAAAUUAUAUAUUAAAAAUUUUUUUAAAAUUUAAUUAUGUUAAAAUUAGUAUAAAUUUUAUUUUUUUUUUAAGGAACUCGGCAAAUAAAUUAUUCAUCUGUUUAUCAAAAACAUAGUCUUAUGGAAAUUUAUAUAAGGUGAUACCUGCCCACUGAAAUUUUUAAUGGCCGCAGUACUUUGACUGUGCUAAGGUAGCAAAAUAAAUUGACUUUUAAUUGGGGCCUUGAAUGAAAGGAUAAAUGAAUAGUUACUGUCUUAAAAAAAAUUACUACAAUUUACUUAAAAGGUGAAAAUUCCUUUAAUUUAAUUAAAUAGACAAGAAAACCCUAGGAGUUUUAAUUUUGUUGGGGCGACAGUAUAGCAUUUAACCUAUAAUAAAUUAUAAUUUAUAUAACGAAUAGUUUUAAUAAUAAACUAACUACCCUAGGGAUAACAGCAUAAUUUUAAAAAAGUUUGUGACCUCAAUGUUGGA
RNAcentral lists this ribosomal RNA (569 nucleotides) under Sigaloeista rubra. Its description in RNAcentral is "partial 16S ribosomal RNA". The stretch from base 160 to 362 matches the Rfam family "Bacterial large subunit ribosomal RNA", at positions 1699 to 2030 of the family's 2925-position model. Lineage: Eukaryota; Metazoa; Mollusca; Gastropoda; Stylommatophora; Helicarionidae. The record is from RNAcentral.